GGCUUUAUAGUGGAAAAAAGACGUCAAAUUGCAAAUUUGAAGAUGUAUAGGUUACUAAAGCUU
RNAcentral lists this transfer RNA (63 nucleotides) under Gramastacus insolitus. Its description in RNAcentral is "tRNA-Cys". Lineage: Eukaryota; Metazoa; Arthropoda; Malacostraca; Decapoda; Parastacidae. The record is from RNAcentral.